GAGAAGGGUAAGAAGUACAAAGCUGGUCUAAAUAGAAGUAAAAGACAUUAGAAUUUUAAAGGAUUCUUGGAUAAUCAAUUGAGAUUUUGCUCUGUUUUGUAGGGUGGCCAUACCUUCCCUUGCCGCCGAUCAGCCGUUGGACGCGCUGACUCAAAUAUGACAUUAGUUAUGUCUUAACACCGAGAGGGAUGUGGUUCAAUUGGUGAUAUCAACAAUGUAGUAGACAUUGUCUGAAGAUCAUCUCAUGAGCUUUAUAUUUGAUAUCUCCAGCUUCAGGCCGAGCAGCAUUAGAUCAGGAUUUAGAUUCCAUUCUGGGUGGUAAUGAUGAAGUUUUGUUGUCUGAAGCAAUGAUGAUCUGGGACUUGGUGAUGAAAUGUUUGGAAGUGAGCGGCCCUCUACAGCUCUGAGCGAAAGAUUGCACAGAAGGCAGGCAAAGAGAGAGGGCAAAGUUGAAAAAAUUAAUGGGUCGUAUUUGGAUGAUAACAAGACACCACCAGAAGGAAACAAGCCAGCGAGAAGAGAAACAACGAGUAAUGGUAGGGACGUCUCUACAGUUUCAGAUUCUCCCUGGACACGUUUUUUUAAAAUUUGAUUGUAAAAGUAACGUCUGAAGUUUGCUUAAGUGGAUAGAAUACUCAAUGCAGUGGUUUCAUUAAAAUUUUCAGUAGGAGGGUAACUGGUUUUCACAGGCGGGCAAAACG
Orbicella faveolata is the source of this 701-nucleotide long non-coding RNA. NCBI's taxonomy places the organism in Eukaryota, Metazoa, Cnidaria, Anthozoa, Scleractinia, Merulinidae. The record is from RefSeq and is a predicted model, not a curated record.